UACGUAGGGGGCAAGCGUUGUCCGGAUUUAUUGGGCGUAAAGCGCGUGUAGGCGGCCUUGCAAGUCGGGUGUGAAAGCCCUCAGCUCAACUGAGGAAGCGCGCCCGAAACUGCAGAGCUUGAGUACCGGAGAGGAUGGCGGAAUUCCCCAAGUAGAGGUGAAAUUCGUAGAUAUGGGGAGGAACACCGGUGGCGAAGGCGGCCAUCUGGACGGAUACUGACGCUGAGACGCGAAAGCGUGGGGAGCAAACGGG
RNAcentral lists this ribosomal RNA (253 nucleotides) under uncultured bacterium. RNAcentral describes it as "partial 16S ribosomal RNA". It matches the Rfam family "Bacterial small subunit ribosomal RNA", at positions 524 to 776 of the family's 1533-position model. The record is from RNAcentral.